Molecule: non-coding RNA, 74 nt
Organism: Podarcis lilfordi (Lilford's wall lizard)
Lineage: Eukaryota; Metazoa; Chordata; Lepidosauria; Squamata; Lacertidae
Source: the annotation of a GenBank genome assembly
ACCUCUGUGGUGCAGUGGAUCAGCGUGUCUGGCUGUUAACCAGAAGGUUGGAGGUUCGAGGCCACCCAAGGAUG